AUGCAAACAACACACACAAGUAACAACGUUAGGCCAUGGAGCGGCGAGCUCCUUACAUGUGGGAGGGGCUACAGAGGAAGAGAUUUGGGGAAAUGGUAGUUGGGGAUUUUACAGAGAAGCUGUGGUUCCAAAGAUUCCACAUGACACGCUCAACUUUGGAUGAGCUGUGUGACGCUGUGGGACCUCUGGUGGUGCAGUGCCUGCUCCUGCACAGCGCCCAAGGCAGCAAGUUCCUACCAAGAAGUGCAUCACCAUCCGCUUGUUGGUCACGUGACUUGUUUAAUUUCAGUUUUGGGAAAUAUUUUCAUUUCGAUCCACUUUAAAAACUACGGAGCCCCUAAAGGGCCACUGAAGAAAAAAAAUAAUAAAAUAAAACUGGUGCGCACCCGAUCAA
This is a non-coding RNA of Oryzias latipes (Japanese medaka), 394 nucleotides long. The record is from RefSeq and is a predicted model, not a curated record. Lineage: Eukaryota; Metazoa; Chordata; Actinopteri; Beloniformes; Adrianichthyidae.